RNAcentral lists this long non-coding RNA (11597 nucleotides) under Theobroma cacao (cacao). Its description in RNAcentral is "long non-coding RNA (TCAC_LNC002884)". The record is from RNAcentral. Lineage: Eukaryota; Viridiplantae; Streptophyta; Magnoliopsida; Malvales; Malvaceae.
ACCCUACUCGCCUCUCCAACCGAGGUAAAAUAUGUCAGGAUUUCGUGCCCCUCUAAUAGGCUAUUCCACAGAACCCAGCCCACUGCAGCAAGCAAUAUCCAUCAUACAAUAAAAUUUUGACAGCAUGACGUGACUAAUAUUAUACUACUCAUGAAAUACCCCAUACUUUGAUAUGGUGAUAAAUAAAGUUGAUCGAAUGCAAAUUGAGGCCAAUUAAAAUGUUUAAAAGUGAUAAGAGACGAAAGGAGUAGUUUACGAUAAAAUAUUUCGCAAGUGAGAAAAUAACAAUAAAAUAAUAAUAAUUUUAUAGGAGGAGAAUUUGUGAGAUAAAAGGCGAUUCAGAAGUCAAGUGAGGCAUAAUAAGGUAUUUUUGGUACCAAGGAGACAAGAAAAAAUUUUAAGAAUAAAAUAAUAUUAAAAUAUUAAUAUUUAGUCGGAUGUUGAAGUCAAUCAAGAAGAAGGAUCAUAUGGUUGAUCCAAGUGGGGGAGAAGAUGACAAGCCCGACUCUAUAAAAAUAUUUAUCAUGACAUACAUGUGAUAGAUAGCAUGUUUGCAUGCUAGGAAAGUCCCGAAAAAUUUACAAAAGUCGGUAUUGUACCUAGAGGUACAACAAAGUUGAUUUAAGCCUCGAACUAGAUCAAAUAGAGAAGUUACAAUGAAAUUAAGAAUUUUAAAGUCCCAGAAUGGUUUAAUAUGGUGAUUCGGAGUUCGAGGAUCAAUUUGGAGUCAAACCGAAAUUUUCGCUAUCUAGGGGCAAAAUGGUCAUUUGCCACCUGGGGACAAAAUAGAAAUUUUAGAAAAGAUUUUUUUGGUCCCAUUUGACUUAUUGGAGUAUAAUUUGACUUAUUGGAGUAAGAUUUGAGGUUUAGAAGUGAAAAAUUUUAAUUUCGGUAUAAUUUGGAGUAAAAGGGUAAAAUGGUAAUUUUGCCACCCCAGGGGCAAAAUUGUAAUUUUCCACCAUCAGGACAUUUUUCCAGCACAUGGUCUUCCUUUAUCCUCAUUUUGACCAUUGACUAAUUGUGUGGUGGAGAUAACAAGGAUUAAAAUUUUUAAAGUUUUAAAAGCGGGCCAAUGACAUGAUGCCACGUGUCAUGCCCUUAUUAAUUUAUUAUUUCUCUUUUAAAAGGCACAAAAAUCAGCUCAUCUUCCACCCCAUGGCCGGCCAAACCAGCAAGAAGAGAGAGAAAACAAAAAACAAAACCCUAGAGAGAGAAAAUCAAAGAAAAAGUGUGAAUUUUCAAGAAAAUUAAGUGAAAAAGGUGAGAUUUUUUCUAUUAAGCUUGAGUUUUCUUAUUCCCAAGCAUUUCUCUUUAUUUUCCAUGAUUAAAUUACAUGUUUUCAUGAUGAAUUCAAUUCUGAAAAAAUGGGUUAGGAGAGAGAAAGUUGUUNNNNNNNNNNNNNNNNNNNNNNNNNNNNNNNNNNNNNNNNNNNNNNNNNNNNNNNNNNNNNNNNNNNNNNNNNNNNNNNNNNNNNNNNNNNNNNNNNNNNNNNNNNNNNNNNNNNNNNNNNNNNNNNNNNNNNNNNNNNNNNNNNNNNNNNNNNNNNNNNNNNNNNNNNNNNNNNNNNNNNNNNNNNNNNNNNNNNNNNNNNNNNNNNNNNNNNNNNNNNNNNNNNNNNNNNNNNNNNNNNNNNNNNNNNNNNNNNNNNNNNNNNNNNNNNNNNNNNNNNNNNNNNNNNNNNNNNNNNNNNNNNNNNNNNNNNNNNNNNNNNNNNNNNNNNNNNNNNNNNNNNNNNNNNNNNNNNNNNNNNNNNNNNNNNNNNNNNNNNNNNNNNNNNNNNNNNNNNNNNNNNNNNNNNNNNNNNNNNNNNNNNNNNNNNNNNNNNNNNNNNNNNNNNNNNNNNNNNNNNNNNNNNNNNNNNNNNNNNNNNNNNNNNNNNNNNNNNNNAUUGAUGUGGUGAAUUAUGUAUUGUACAUUGUGGAUAAGUGGUGAGCAAAGUACACUGGUAAAAGUACAGAGAUUGUGCUUGGAGACUGGGAUUAGGAGUGUAUCGACUCCUAGAACUGUGAGUGAACUUAUUAUCGUCUUAAUUAUCUAGAGUAGUUUUAUACAACUACGUGGUUUUAUGAAAAAUGGGUUUAAAUGGUAAAUUGCUAUGUUUUAAGAGAAAUUGUGAUUUUAUAAAAUGAUUUUAUAAAUUUUCUGGAAAAUCGAAUACUGAUUUUGAAAAUAGAGUAAUUGGAGACUGCUUGCUUGUGUUGUAAAUUUAUGGUUUUAAAUUGAAUGGCUUAUGACAAUAUAUGAGCAUGAAUGGCUAAACUGAUUUUGGUGUUAGAAUUAUUUGCACUGAGUAUUCAGCCUUGAGAGGCUUGGUUGCGAUAAAUUGCCAUGUCAUGCUAUAAUGAAUUUUAUUGAUUGGUGGAUUAUAUAUUAAUUAUUUACUGCAGAGGGGGUUCCGUGGACCAGCCUAUUAGAGGGGCACGGUAAACUCCAUUAUAUUAUUACCUCGAACGGAGAAACGUGUAAGAUAUCUCAUGGGGUUAAAGCUUAGGGUUCACUUCACGCCAAACCACCACGUGAAGGGGAACUCAGCCAACGCUAAGGAACGGCUGUAUUUUUCUCGAACUAAAAUAUAUUUUAAGUGUAUAAAAAAUUUGAAUAGCCUUGGCGGACUCGGUUAGAUGCCCUGCGCAAGGUAUCACCGAGUAUGAGUUUUGGCACGAGCCAAAGUUUUAAGAAAUUCAUAAGCCAAGUUGAUUACUCGAUUUUUAUGGAUUGAUUUUAUUUGGUUGAAAUGAGUUGAAAGGUAAUGAAAUUACAGUAUGAUGAUUUAUUUUAAUUGUCUCCAUUUACUCGACUUUUGAUAGUUUAGAUGGUAUUUGUUUACUUACUGGGAUUUUAUAAUCUCACCACCCUCAUUUCCUCACAUUUCAGGCUCGGGAAAUUCCAUAGUUAGCUGACUUUGACAAGGACUUUCAUUUGGACUCGAAUCGGUAAAAGCUGUAGGUUUCCAGCUUUCGAUGCAUUUUGGUUAGAGGUGGGCCCAUGCGUCACUGUAAAAGAAAUUUUAUGCUUUGGUUAUUUGCUUUAUAAUAUAUAUGAAUAUAAUUAACUUUUGCGCUAUAAGAAUUAUGUACCAAUAGUUUUAUGAAAAUUAUUUUACAAGAAAAUAGUUAUUUUAUUGAAUAUUUUUAUUAUAUUCAAAUGGUCAAAUUUUCAUUUCAAAUGAAUGUUUUAGAUACUUAAUUUUUUUUUAAAUCAUUAAAUAUAUAUUUUCGGCUUACCUACUACAUUUUUAGCAAGUUUCGAGGUUUUCGAUAAAAAUGACGAAAAUGCCCCUGUGAGCAAAAAAAAUAUUAUGUUAUGAUUUGGAAAUGAUUUGUAAUCCUUCGUAUUUUGAUUAUUUAAUAACUAUUGCUCACCGGGGAAGUGUGAAAGCUGAUACAAGAGCCUUGCGAAGUUUCGAUCGACAUUUGGGGUGAAGAAUGUUUGUCGAGGCUUCGCGACGGUUGUCACGGACUCGAUGGGGAGUUCCGGGUCGUGACAACCCAGCCUGUAAAUGUAAAACAGAACAAUUCAUACAGUUCACCAAAAACACAACCCAGCCAGUCAUGCCAACACAUUAACAUAAGCCAUCAAUUCAAAUCAUAAAUUUACAACACAUCAAGAGUCUCCAAUUACUCUAUUUUCAAAAUCAUUAUUCAAUUUCAAGACAGUUUAUAAAAUCUUUUCAUUUAAACACAUUUUGUUUAUAAACAUAAAGGUUUACCAUUUAAACCCAUUUUUCAUAAAAUCAUAAAAUCGAAUAAAAACCACUUUAGAUAAUUAAGAUGAUAGUAAGGUUACUCAAUGUUCUAGGAGUCGAUGUACUCUUAAUCUCAGUCUUCAAGUACAAUCUCUGUACUUUUACUAGUGUAAUUUGCUCACCACCUAUCCACAAUGUACAAUACAUAAUUCACCACAUUAAUGCUUGACCAUUAUAAAAUCAAUUCAAGCUCGGUGUAUAUGCAUGAUAUGAUAUGCAACUUAUCCGACUACCGCUUAAAUGUGGUGUUGACCUAAUUUGGCCUAUUACCCGAUUAAAUGACAAUUGUGUCUGAUUUGACUCCAAAUUGCUCCAUUUCAUUUCUAAUAUUUCAAUUCACUAAAUAUAAUUCCAAUAAUCUAAAAUUCAGCCUAACAACCCUUACAAUUCUUCUUGAAAAUUUCAGUCAUUGUGGUGCACUAUCACUAAAAAUUUUCCCAUUCCAUUUUUUCACCAUAAAUUAUCAUUUCAUCCAUUUUUCAACCAAUUCACUUGAUCACAAAAUCAAUUCAUUACUUCUACACUUCACAUAGGGUUCGGCCAUUGAAGGUUCAUAGGGAAAAUGGAUUCUUUUCUUGUUGUUUUGUUUCUAAACAUGCUUAACUAACUCUAAACACCAACAUAACUCAAAAUCAAAUCAAUCUAACAUCAUUCUCUCUCCAUACCCAUUCCGACUAGCCAUGAAUUCAUCAUGAAAACAUGUAAUUUAACCAUGGAAAAUGAGGAGAAAUGCAUGGGGAAGAAAGAUGUCAAGCUUAAUUGAAAAAUUUUACCUUUUUUUCACUUGUUUCCUUGAAUUUUCACACUUUUCCCUUGAAUUUUUCCACCUAGGGUUUGUUCUCUUCCUUUUCUUCUUUUGUUCUUCUUUGGUCUUGGUUUGGCCGGCCAUAUGAAAGAAAAUAGGCUGAUUUUAUACUUAUUUUAAAGCUAAAUAAAUAAUGGCUAUAAAUUUGACACAUGUCACCACAUUAUUGGUCUAUUUGUAAUUUCUUAACUAUUAAGCUUUCUCUCUCCACCACUUAAAUUCCAUUAAUUAUCCAUGAUAAUAUUGGAUAAAAUCCAUGUGUUGAACAAGUGUCGGGUGGUGUAAAAUUACAAUUUUGCCACUGAGGUGGUAAAAUUACAAUUUUGCCACUGAGGUGGCAAAAUUAUCAUUUUACCCCUAUGUUCUGAAAAAUACCGAGAUUACAAUUUUUCACUUCUCAAUCCCAAAUCAUACUCCAAUAAGUCAAAUGUGAUUCAAAUCUUUCAAAAAAAUUUUCCAUUUUAUCCUCGAGUGGUAAAAUUACCAUUUUGUCCAUAGAUAGUGAAAUUUUCGGUUUAACUCCAAAUUGAUCCUCGAACUCCGAAUCAUCAUAUUAAAUCAUUCCUGGAUUGUAAAAUUUUCAAUUUCAUCAUAAAAUCUCUAUUCGAUCUAGUUCGAGGCUUAAAUCAACUUUGUUGUACCUCUAGGUGCAAUACCGACUUUUUGUAAAUUUUUUGGGACUCUACUAGCAUGCAACCAUGCUAUUCAUUACAUGUAUGUCAUGAUAGGUAUUUUAUAAGGUCAGGCUUUACAGCACUACCCACCUUAAAAUAAAAUUUUGACAUCAAAAUUUCAUUUACUAAACUCAAAGAAAAAGUGGGGGUAUUGUUUUCUCAUCUAAUGCUCGACUUCUUAUGUCUUCCUUUUUAUAGGGAAUUUCGAUUUGUUCACCUCAUUUACCUCCAAUUCAACUUGAGUACUUCACUUAUGUCUAUUAUUAUUCUUUAAAAUCAUAUCAAUAGUAAACUUUACAAUUAUGAUAUCUUAUAUCGAAACACCAAACAUGCUUCUAUUACUAUCAUUAAACUUGAACUAUAACUCCAUCUCAAUCAUACUAAUUUCGAUCGCAUUUUGUACUUAUUUAGGUAUACCAAUCACUAUCUUAUUACUUCAUUCCAUAUCAAAUCUCUCGACUUUCAUUCAUUCAUUCCCUCCUCAUACAAUAUUGUGUAGUUUACAGUAUCAUUAACAUGCCAUAUUCAUUCUUAUACAUAUCCUCAACGUUAGGGAAGAUUAAUGGCUUCAAUUAUUUCCACAUACUUCAUGUUUAUCUCACAUUUAGGAAAUUUCAAUCUUCUUAAUCCUAUUAAUCCAUCUCAUAUGGCUUAAUCGCACUAUAGAUUACAUUUCCUUAACUAUUUCCCCAAAAUUUCUUGGGUUACCAUAAAUUGACUUUUGAUAAAAUUCUUGAUCGUUACAUUAUCUAUACAACUCAUCAAAUAUUUUGAGUUCAAAUCUCGAACCACUAAAACCAUUCUUCAUUUUAAUUGGGUACAUCACUAACUCCACACAUACGUAUACACGCACAUUCAAAUGUCCAUAUUCCUCAUUAUGUAUACAGGUCUCUGUUUUCAAAUGCCUUCAGACUAAUUUCUCUUUAUCCAUUCCCAUUCAUAACCAAGAUUCAAUAGAAUAAUCUUCAUAAUUCAUACAAAUUCUCAUCAUGCUUGUGCAUAGUUCUACAUCAUUUACAUACUUAUAUUCUCUUUUUAUCAUUUCCAAUUAUAUGCUUAAGUUUCCUUGUACUAUAUAUCCUUGCAUCACAAUGUCAUCUCCAUUGAAUUAUAAUCUAUUAUGCGUGUAUGCUUUAUAAUCCCAUUGAUGCCUUAAAGAUUUACCUUAACUUGAUUAUUGCAUCUUAUGUAAUACCACAAUUCCUAAGAGUCAUCUUUUUUCCUCGAUUAUCUUUCAUGCCUCUAUAUUACCUUGUAUCCUUCUUGCAUUCCGAUAUUGAUUUGUCACUUAGAACUCAUACUCAUUUGAAUCAUGUACACCUCAAGCAUCUUCGAAUUCCAAUUCCAUAAUAUAUUAGGAAAGUUUCAUUAUCUGACUUCAUUAUCAAAGUCAACUUCAAUCAUCCUUUGUUCCACUCUUUCAUAUGAACAUAACAUCAUUCUCCCUUAGCUAAUUUAUAAAUUGCUCUUGAAAUUGUAAAACUUGAAACUAGAUUCUCCUCAAGUACCUUUCAAUGUCAAUACUAAUAUCACUCUCAACUUACAGCUUCCUUUUUAUAACCACAUAACUUAGUGCUUGCUUUCACGAGAUCCAUGGCAGAACUUUUCUUAAGUGUUUCCUUGGGGAUAUCUAUCUUAAACUUAUGUCUCACAAUAUGUGAUCACUUAAACCGUAACUUAGCCAUUUAUGUGGCAUCCCCUUCGGGGCCUACUCUGAGGUAUUGUUACGUCUGGGUCCCCAUCACUUGACUUACUCGUAUACGCCGCGCCUAAGGGUGGCACGACAGACCCUGCAGGACCUUCUCGUCAAGUUUCUAACCUUAAACCUUUUGCUUCCCCCCCCCCCCCCCGAAGGGAACGCCUUUAAUCAUUUUAGCUUUAACUCAUUCAUAUCGAUACCUUCCAAAACCUUAAAACUCAAGUUAACAAAACUUAGAAUCAAGUUUAAUGACUUUAGGUCAACUUGUAAGUUCAACUUUACAUCAAUCUCAUUUUAUUCAUGCAUCCUAGACAUGAAGUGUUCUUAACACCGCAGCACGGUGGCUGUUGGAAUUUACUUAAUCAAUGUUAUUCAUCUAUAUUUAAGGUUACUACACUAGUCAUUCUCAACCAUUUGGUUUCCCUCCAAGCUUACGUCACAAUUUCCAUAACCAGUUAUAUUCUCUUGUGCUUAUCACAUAUAAUAGGUAAAGUCAAUAUUUUCAAAUUCAUCUCAUCCUAUAACACUUGUCAACAAUCAAUAAAUCCCACUUUAGAAUACUCUUUCCACAUUGUAUAGUAACUUCACCAUAUAGAAUCACGACACUAUAUUCCUCCAUUCUACUAUCAUGCAUACUCCACAGAAAUUAAUUAAAAGAUUUACGUACCUUAACUAAUGCUAAUUCCAUUUAAUCAUAUCUUAAAUACUCAAAACUUGUAAAUUACAACUCCAAGUGUAUGUCCAUAGAUUGAUAAUCUUUAUAUAUUUCAUGAUCAUGAAAACUACAACUUACAAACUAGCUUUCGAUCAUAUGCACACUAUUAGAACAUUAAUUUCAACAUGUUUAAUUCUCCUUUGGUGGUAUGUUAAGAUCGUUCCUGGAUACAUUUUCAUAUUAACAUUGAUAUGCCUUUACCAUAGCACUUAGUGCAAAUUUGAUGAAGGAAUUGUCUCCAAAUAACUCUUAAAUACAUAAUUAUCAAAUUGUAUACCACUAAAUGUUAAGAUCUUGACUUUAUUCAUCAAUAACCAAUCACAUUUAUUAAGUGAAUAAUUUACUUAUUUAUUAUACCUUGCCUUUGCGAUCAUAAGAUCAAAGUUGUCCUAAACUUAGGAUGCAGAAGUUCUCUUUCUUAGAGUAUAUCCAAACAUCAAUAUUUUCUAAAUUCUUUACUUUGGGGAGAUCACCUUCAAGACUGAUCAUUCGUAUCAUAGGCCACACUUUGAACCAAAUAAACUUUUAAAUUGAUCUUUCAAGUAAUUCGUAUAUCAGUCUCAAUUAUAGAACUUCAUAUGACACUUAGACUAGAUUCGACAUUUUUAAAUCAUUUAACUUCAAGCUGCCAAUUCCACAUCUAGUCCUUUAAUCUCUUAGCUCCUCUUUUUUCUAUGCAUAGCAAAGUUCAAGUUCAUCCUUAGAGCAGAUUUGUUUACUAACUUCUUACUUCAUGACCACACAUCAAUUAUAGUGAUCAUUGAUACUCGCUCUCGAGUUAAUUCACGUGCUUACAUCCAUGAACUAUAAUAAGUCCAAUCAAUUCUUGAAAUCUCACAAUCGCUUAAUUGAAAUCAACACCAGUUCCCUCUAAGCUGUUGUACCAAUUCAACACAUAUUCACAUAUAAAAUAUUUCAAUAUCCCAACACCACUUUUAUAUGGGCAUAACAAGCUCAAUUAACAUAGUGUUUUUAUCUUCAUGCACAUAAGUAUGGGUUUACUAUUACCUCAAAGUUUACUUUAUACACUCCAAGUGAAUUACAACCAUUACUAUUCAUUCUAAUCAAAAUGCGCCCCUUAUUACCAUUAUCACACGUGCUUUUUUUUUAUUAAUCCCAAUACAAUCUAUAGUCCCCAAAUCUUUUUCCAAUUGACAACCAUGAGUUCAAUUAUAACUCCACCAAAUGAAUAAAUUAUCACGGCCUUUUAGUCCAACUCCAAAUUUCUCCAUCUUUAAUCGGAAGGAUAUAUCAUUUCAUUAAUCUUUCAUUAGGAGCAUUCGUUUUAAGAUCUCUCUAACACAGGCUUGUGUCACGAGUGGCAUCUUAAACCCAGACAACGGCCCUACUUAUGACCUUUGCAUGACAUUAACAAAGAAGUGGAUUACUGAGAACAGGAGUUCAUAUAGCUCCCUGUCUAUGACUUAUGCUCCCAUAAGAUCUAUAAGAAGAAACAAAACGAGUCUACACAACUCCAAAUUCUAUAUGCAGAUGCACAUAUUCUAUUCUAUCAAACCUAACUUAACUCGGGGCCAUGCAAUGUCAGUGUGGAUUUCCUAAAACAACCUUCAAACCAAAAACUUUAAAAUCCAAAGCUUUAAAAUCAAAAUCUCUGAUCUUUAAACCAUGCUCUAAUACCAAUCGAAUUGUCACGACCCGAAACUCUCCAUCGGGCCUGUAACAACCGUCGCGAAGUCUCGACAAACAUUCUUCACCCCGAAUGCCGAUCGAAACCUCGCAAGGCUUUUGUAUAAGCUUUCGCACUUCCCCGGUGAGCAAUAGUUAUCAAAUAUCUUAAUUCGAAGGAUUACGAGUCAUUUUCAAAUCAGAACAUAACAAAUUAUUUUCUGACUCACAUGGGCAUUUUCAUCAUUUUUUGUUGAAAAUCUCAAAACUUGCUAAAAAUGUAGUAGGUAAGAAGAAAAUAUAUAUUUAGUGAUUUAAAAACAAAUUAAGUAUCUAAACGUUCAUUUGAAGUGAAAAUCUAACCAUUUGAAUAUAAUAAAAAUAUUUAAUAAAAUAAACUAUUUUCUUGUAAAAUAAUUUUUAUAAAGCUAUCGGUAAAUAAUUCUUAUAGCGUAAAAGUUAAUUAUAUUCAUAUAUACUAUAAACCAAAUAACCAAAGCAUAAAAUUACUUUUACAGCGACACAUGGGCCCACAUCUAACCAAAAUGCAUCUGAAGCUGAAAACCUACAGCUUUUGCCGAUUCAAGUUCAAAUGAAGGUAUUGUCAAAGUUAGCUAACUAUAGAAUUCCUCGAGCCUAAAAUGUGAGGAAAUGAGGGUGGUGAGAUUAUAAAAUCCCAGUGAGUAAACAGACACCAUCUAAACUAUCUAAAGGCGAGUAAGUGAAGACAGACAAAACAGUUUAACAUACUGAAAUUCAUCACCUUUCAACUUGUUUCAACCAGAUAAAAUCAAUUCAUAUAAAUCGAGUAAUUAACAUGGCUUAUGAAUUUCUUAAAACUUUGGCUCAUGCCAAAAUUUAUUUUCAUACUCAGUUAUCAGGGCUAUCCCAAACCGAGUUCGCCAAGGCUAUUAAAAAGUUAUAUACUCAUAAAUCAUGUUUUUAUUUAGAAAACACAACUGUUCCUUGGCGUUGGCUAAGUUCCCCCUCAUGUGGUAGUUUAGCGUGAAGUGGACUCUAAAGUUAUACCUUGGGAGUUACCCUACUCGCCUCUCCAAUUGAGGUAAAAUAUAUCAAGAUUCCGUACCCCUCUAAUAGGCUAGUCCACAGAACCCAGUCCACUGUAGCAAGCAAUACACACCAUACAAUAAAAUUUUGACAGCAUGACGUGACUAAAAUUAUACUAUCCAGCCUGUAAAUGUAAAACAGAAUAAUUCAUACAAUUCACCAAAAAUGCAACCCAGCCAAUCAUGCCAACACAUUAACAUAAGCCAUCAAUUCAAAUCAUAAAUUUACAACACAUCAGAAGUUUCCAAUUACUCUAUUUUCAAAAUCAUUAUUCAAUUUCAAGACAGUUUAUAAAAUCUUUUCAUUUAAACACAUUUUGUUUAUAAACAUAAAGGUUUACCAUUUAAACCCAUUUUUCAUAAAAUCAUAAAAUCGGAUAAAAACCACUUUAGAUAAUUAAGACGAUAGUAAGGUUACUCACAGUUCUAAGAGUCAAUGUACUCCUAAUCCCAGUCUUUAAGUACAAUCUUUGUACUUUUACCAGUGUAAUUUGCUCACCACCUAUCCACAAUGUACAAUACAUAAUUCACCACAUUAAUGCUUGACCAUUAUAAAAUCAAUUCAGGCUCGGUGUAUAUGCAUAAUAUGAUAUGCAACUUAUCUGACUACCGCUUAAAUGCGGUGUUGACCUAAUUCGGCCUAUUACCUGAUUCGGCUUAUCCGAUUACCAAAUUGCUCCAUUUCAUUUCUAAUAUUUCAAUUCACUAAAUACAAUUCCAGUAAUCUAAAAUUCAGCCUAACAACCCUCACAACUCUUCUUGAAAAUUCCUGCCAUUGUGGUACACUAUCACUAAAAAUUUUCCCAUUCCAUUUUCUCACCAUAAAUCAUCAUUUCAUCCAUUUUUCAACCAAUUCACUUGAUCACAAAAUCAAUUCAUUACUUCUACACUUCACAUAGGGUUCGGCCAUUGAAGGUUCAUGGGGAAAAUGGAUUAUUUUCUUGUUGUUUUAUUUCUAAACAUACUUAACUAACUCUAAACACCAACAUAACUCAAAAUCAAAUCAAUCUAACAUCAUUCUCUCUCCAUACCCAUUCCGACCAGCCAUGAAUUCAUCAUGAAAAUAUGCAAUUUAACCAUGAAAAAUGAGGAGAAAUGCAUGGGAAAGAAAGAUGUCAAGUUUAAUUGGAAAAUUUUACCUUUUUUUCACUUCUUUCCUUGAAUUUUCACACUUUUUCCUUGAAUUUUUCCACCUAGGGUUUGUUCUCUUCCUUUUCUUCUUUUGUUCUUCUUUGGUCUUGGUUUGGCCAGCCAUAUGAAAGAAAA